RNAcentral lists this ribosomal RNA (253 nucleotides) under uncultured bacterium. RNAcentral's name for it is "partial 16S ribosomal RNA". It matches the Rfam family "Bacterial small subunit ribosomal RNA", at positions 524 to 776 of the family's 1533-position model. The record is from RNAcentral.
UACGUAGGGUGCGAGCGUUGUCCGGAAUUAUUGGGCGUAAAGAGCUCGUAGGCGGUUUGUCGCGUCGACUGUGAAAACCCGAGGCUUAACCUCGGGCCUGCAGUCGAUACGGGCAGACUAGAGUUCGGUAGGGGAGACUGGAAUUCCUGGUGUAGCGGUGAAAUGCGCAGAUAUCAGGAGGAACACCGGUGGCGAAGGCGGAUCUCUGGGCCAUUACUGACGCUGAGGAGCGAAAGCGUGGGGAGCGAACAGG